This 513-nucleotide ribosomal RNA is filed under the name uncultured bacterium. RNAcentral's name for it is "partial 16S ribosomal RNA". It matches the Rfam family "Bacterial small subunit ribosomal RNA", at positions 28 to 523 of the family's 1533-position model. The record is from RNAcentral.
GACGAACGCUGGCGGCGUGCCUAAUACAUGCAAGUUGAGCGCUGAAGGUUGGUACUUGUACCGACUGGAUGAGCAGCGAACGGGUGAGUAACGCGUGGGGAAUCUGCCUUUGAGCGGGGGACAACAUUUGGAAACGAAUGCUAAUACCGCAUAAAAACUUUAAACACAAGUUUUAAGUUUGAAAGAUGCAAUUGCAUCACUCAAAGAUGAUCCCGCGUUGUAUUAGCUAGUUGGUGAGGUAAAGGCUCACCAAGGCGAUGAUACAUAGCCGACCGGGGAGGGGGAUCGGCCACAUUGGGACUGAGACACGGCCCAAACUCCGACGGGAGGCAGCAAUAGGGAAUCUUCGGCAAUGGACGAAAGUCUGACCGAGCAACGCCGCGUGAGUGAAGAAGGUUUUCGGAUCGUAAAACUCUGUUGGUAGAGAAGAACGUUGGUGAGAGUGGAAAGCUCAUCAAGUGACGGUAACUACCCAGAAAGGGACGGCUAACUACGUGCCAGCAGCCGCGGUAA